GGGACAACUCCGGUCCCUAUCCCCGCGCUCUCCCCUCUCCUCCUCGCCCUCCUCGAUCUGGACCUUACCCGAGCAUAGUCACUGCCGCGCCAUCCCCGUCUUCGCGCUCUGGAGCUUCCCCGAGCCACCGUUGCUCUCCAGGGGCCGUGCCUCGACAUGCUCGAACUCCACAACAACGGAAGCAAGCAGGGGCCUCCCCAGGCCGUCGCCAUCGACACCUCCUUCAAGCUCGGACAACCAAGGACGUCGUCGACCAAUUCGUCGCCGUCGGCUCCCUCCGGCUCCCUCGUCCGCUUCCCUACACCCGUUAUGGUGGAGCCCAGGAUCCAGACGAAACCACCGAUGACUACUACAACCCCGAGGGUGCCUACUACUACGUGGAGGCCGCUGACGACCAGGAGUAGUUAGGAGGCUCCCUGGCAGGAGGCCUUGCCUUUUCGAUCGUUGUUGCUUUUGUGCUAGCCUUCUUAAGGCAAAAUUGUCUAACUUAUGUCUGUACUCAGUUAUUGUUGCUUCCGCCGACCCUUGUGUUUUUGAGCUGAUAUAUUCGAGCCCUCGAGGCCCCUGGCUUGUAAUAUAAGGCUUGUAUUAUUUUAAUUUGUGUCUA
Non-coding RNA from Aegilops tauschii subsp. strangulata, 607 nucleotides. The record is from RefSeq and is a predicted model, not a curated record. NCBI's taxonomy places the organism in Eukaryota, Viridiplantae, Streptophyta, Magnoliopsida, Poales, Poaceae.